AGGAUGAUGGAAACAAUCACUCAUCUUCACAAAGCCAUGGUAUUCCUUGAAUAUUUUACAAGUAACACUUGGGUUUGGAAUACUGAUAAUGUCAAUAUGUUAAUGAACCAGCUAAACCCUGAAGAUUAAAAAGAUCUUUAAUAUUGAUAUAUGACAGUUACACUGUGCAGAAUAUAUAGAAAACUACUGCAUGGGUACUAAAAAAUAUGUAUUGAAUGAAGAGAUGUCAGGCCUCCUUGUAGCUAGAAAGCAUCUGAAUAAGUUGCUGAAUAUCUGUUAUGAUUUCAAUACAAUACUUGUGAUACUUAUCUGGUGCAUUUUUGUUGCAAGAUCACAAAUGGCAAGAAACAUCUGGUGUUUUGUGGUUAGUCUGUGUUACAAAUUUCUGUCAAACUUUGAGCAUCCAGCACUAUGAGAUACUGAAGACCAAGAAUUUAGCAUUAGAAUAUCUAUGCAUAUGAUGACCCAAAUGCAUAAAA
Molecule: long non-coding RNA, 479 nt
Filed under: Rattus norvegicus (Norway rat)
Lineage: Eukaryota; Metazoa; Chordata; Mammalia; Rodentia; Muridae
Description: long non-coding RNA NONRATT000726
Source: RNAcentral